Molecule: non-coding RNA, 28 nt
Filed under: Homo sapiens (human)
Lineage: Eukaryota; Metazoa; Chordata; Mammalia; Primates; Hominidae
Source: RNAcentral
AUCAGCAAAAUGGCAAAGUAGGUGGCUC